GCACCUGUAGUUCAGUUGGUAGAACGCCUGUCCUGUAAACAGGUUGUCUGGGGUUCAAAUCCUCACGGGUGCU
Molecule: transfer RNA, 73 nt
Filed under: Bacteroidetes bacterium ADurb.BinA104
Lineage: Bacteria; Pseudomonadati; Bacteroidota
Also listed under: 1 other name
Description: tRNA-Thr
Rfam family: tRNA
About the family: Transfer RNA (tRNA) molecules are approximately 80 nucleotides in length.
Source: RNAcentral